CAGUCGCCGCGGUAAUACGUAGGUGGCAAGCGUUGUCCGGAAUUAUUGGGCGUAAAGGGCUCGCAGGCGGUUUCUUAAGUCCGAUGUGAAAGCCCCCGGCUCAACCGGGGAGGGUCAUUGGAAACUGGGAAACUUGAGUGCAGAAGAGGAGAGUGGAAUUCCACGUGUAGCGGUGAAAUGCGUAGAGAUGUGGAGGAACACCAGUGGCGAAGGCGACUCUCUGGUCUGUAACUGACGCUGAGGAGCGAAAGCGUGGGGAGCGAACAGGAUUAGAUACCCCCGUAGUCCCUGUCUCUUAUAC
This 301-nucleotide ribosomal RNA is filed under the name uncultured bacterium. RNAcentral's name for it is "partial 16S ribosomal RNA". It matches the Rfam family "Bacterial small subunit ribosomal RNA", at positions 509 to 807 of the family's 1533-position model. The record is from RNAcentral.